This 253-nucleotide ribosomal RNA is filed under the name uncultured bacterium. Its description in RNAcentral is "partial 16S ribosomal RNA". It matches the Rfam family "Bacterial small subunit ribosomal RNA", at positions 524 to 776 of the family's 1533-position model. The record is from RNAcentral.
UACGUAGGGUGCGAGCGUUAAUCGGAAUUAUUGGGCGUAAAGAGCUCGUAGGCGGUUUGUUGCGUCGGCUGUGAAAUCCCGAGGCUCAACCUCGGGUCUGCAGUCGAUACGAGCAAACUAGAGUGUUGCAGGGGAGACUGGAAUUCCUGGUGUAGCGGUGAAAUGCGCAGAUAUCAGGAGGAACACCGGUGGCGAAGGCGGGUCUCUGGGCAACAACUGACGCUGAGGAGCGAAAGCGUGGGGAGCAAACAGG